This is a long non-coding RNA of Oncorhynchus tshawytscha (Chinook salmon), 1542 nucleotides long. Lineage: Eukaryota; Metazoa; Chordata; Actinopteri; Salmoniformes; Salmonidae. The record is from Ensembl.
GGGUUUGGCUGGCAGGGAUGUCCUUGUCCCAUCACGCACAAGUUUGUCAAAUAGCUAGUAAUGCUAAUGUUAGCUAGCUAAAAUACGGUGGUCCCCUCUAUCUUAGUUAGCUGGAUAAAAUUAUAGCUACUGUAUCUAAAGUCAAUCUGGCCACAUCACAAUCACGACAAAAAGGUUUUUCUACAAAUGAUUUACCUUUUGAAAUGUUAUCGUGUUUCUAAGCCAAAUCCGAGUUGUAUUGAGCUAGGUAGGGUGGCUAACGCUAGCAAGGUGGAUAACGUUAGCUAGGCUAGUGAUUAAGGUUAGGGUUAGCUAACAUGCAAAGUAAAUUGUCUGUAAUGAGAUUUCAAACAGGCAACAUUUGGGUUGCUAGACGUUCGCGAUUUUCGCCCACUCAUCCACCCCGACCAACCACCUUACCUGUUUUGGCCUUAAGUCACCUACUCGGGGGAGGCGAAGGUCGAGAGCCAUGCGAAGGUCGAAGCCACAUGGGUCUACCGGUCGCCACUCAUUGGUCUCCCUUAGACUGCUGCGCCACUUGGGAGGCCCUAAUAUUUACUAUGUUACAACUAGUCUAUGAGACCAGGCUGGUGCAUCCUGCUGGAGGCAUGCAUUGCAUGUUAGGGCUUUUCAGUCCCAAAUGGCUGUGAUCCUUUGAACACGUUGGUUGGGGGUAAUGAAACAACUGAGCCCCAUUUAAUGAAGGGAAGCGAAGUUGGCGGAUGGGUGAUUAGCACGUGGAGCUUGGCAAAAGGGGACUAAUUGUAAUCCAAACCCAACCUUAAUUUACUCCUCGUGAUGCAGAGGUUUAAAACUCAAUUUUGGUCAAAGUCAUUCUAGUCUAAAACUAUCCUAUUCACACUUUGUAGUCAGUUUUGACACUAGAAUAAAUGUCUCUGACUCGAUGUCACAGGUAAGGGAUUAGUUGGUUUUUAGCGGCAGUCACUCUCUAAAUGACAAAAUUUCAGGGAACAUUAGUGGAGUGUAAUGUGUAGUGUACCUACCGAAAUGAAAGCACUCGUUGUAUUUUUGUCAACACUAUUGAUAAAAAGAUGAGAUGCCUGACUCUUUUCAACAUUAUGGAGGACAAUGAUCAUUUCCUUUGCCAAAAUGCUUGUAUACAAAUAACAUUUUUGGCAUUUAUUCAGUGGUGUCUUUAGUAUUCCAUCAGUGUGCAUCUCCUUCCGUUAAGCAUCUCCAGAUCAUCAGCUCUGUGCUGGUGAUUUCACAGGUCACAGCUUGAGCAGGCUGCAGGAAGAGCCUAGACCCAUGUAAUGUCCUGCUAAAUGGAUUAUAGACAUAUCAAUGCAUGUCCCACUCAAUUACACUUUAUGUGUGAAUACAGGCUAGCUGCAGGCUUGUACUCUAUAGCAAUAGCCAGUGAUACAGUCAAGGACAGUGUUAUCAAUACAAUUUAUACAAUCAAUACAAGCAAUUAUGGAUGGGAUUGUUUUUUCCCAGCUAGUUUACUUGAUGUAUAGAAUUGGAAAAACACUUAACUUUGGCAUUAGGAAUUUGCUUGGAUGACAAUGGCAUAUAGGC